AACUUUCAGCAAUGGAUCACUUGGCUCCCGCAUCGAUGAAGAACGCAGCGAAAUGCGAUAAGUAAUGUGAAUUGCAGAAUUCAGUGAAUCAUCGAAUCUUUGAACGCACCUUGCACCCUUUGGCAUUCCGAAGGGUAUGCUCGUUUGAGUGUCAUUGUACUCUCACACUCCCGAUGCUUUUGGAUUGGGAGUGGUGGACUUGGGUGUUGCUGCUUUACUGUGGCUCACCUCAAAUGGAGUAGUGCACCUCUUGGUUGGACAUAGUACGGCGUGAUAAGUGUCUUCGCCGGCGCCUCAUUAGAGGGUGGCCGAUCGGGAGCUCUGUGCUUCAAACCGUCUUCGGACAACAUCUGACAACUUGACCUCAAAUCGAGUAGGACUACCCGCUGAACUUAAGCAUAUCAAUAAGCGGAGGCU
This 417-nucleotide unclassified non-coding RNA is filed under the name uncultured Sebacina. RNAcentral describes it as "sequence contains ITS2". The stretch from base 1 to 154 matches the Rfam family "5.8S ribosomal RNA". The record is from RNAcentral. Lineage: Eukaryota; Fungi; Basidiomycota; Agaricomycetes; Sebacinales; Sebacinaceae.